RNAcentral lists this transfer RNA (76 nucleotides) under Yersinia enterocolitica. RNAcentral describes it as "tRNA-Lys". It matches the Rfam family "tRNA". Rfam says of the family: Transfer RNA (tRNA) molecules are approximately 80 nucleotides in length. Lineage: Bacteria; Pseudomonadati; Pseudomonadota; Gammaproteobacteria; Enterobacterales; Yersiniaceae. The record is from RNAcentral. RNAcentral also lists the same sequence under 8 other names.
GGGUCGUUAGCUCAGUUGGUAGAGCAGUUGACUCUUAAUCAAUGGGUCGCAGGUUCGAACCCUGCACGACCCACCA